RNAcentral lists this long non-coding RNA (453 nucleotides) under Manihot esculenta (cassava). RNAcentral's name for it is "long non-coding RNA (MESC_LNC012476)". Lineage: Eukaryota; Viridiplantae; Streptophyta; Magnoliopsida; Malpighiales; Euphorbiaceae. The record is from RNAcentral.
CCGAAUUUGGAGAGUUGAAUUCUGUCUCUUCUUGUGUUCUUGAGGCCUUUAAAUAGGUGUUGAGAGGCUGCCUAUUUCCUUUUUAGUAUCCAUGAGUCUUUUGGAGACUUCCCAAAGUGCCCUUGUGAGUUAUGUGCCUUCUUUGUGUAUGGGUGAAGGCAAAAACGUGGAGCAUGCAAGUGGGGGCUCUUUAGUCUUUUAAUUGCUGUCCAAGAUCUUCAAGAUACUGCCCAAGGUGUGUCCAAGAGGCUGCCCACGUUUUUGGAGUGUGCCCAUUCACUAAAGAGGAAGGUGGAGCCUUUUAUGGAAACUUGAAUGUGCAUGGCAUAAAGUGAGAAACAUGUGAUCUUGAGAUUUGGCUUCCUUAAUGAGUGGGAUCUUGAAAUCCAAUAUCUGAAUAUGAAUCUUGGAGAUUUGAAUUUCAAAAUACUUUCCUUCUUUGGCUCUUCAAUU